Molecule: long non-coding RNA, 2665 nt
Filed under: Homo sapiens (human)
Lineage: Eukaryota; Metazoa; Chordata; Mammalia; Primates; Hominidae
Description: HSALNT0390916
Source: RNAcentral
CUCAGGUGAUCCACCUGCCUCGGCCUCUCAAAGUGCUGGGAUUACAGGCGUGAGCCACCAUGCCUGGCAUAUAUGGCAAAGUUUUAACACCAUUUUUUACUAAGAUAAGUAUCAUAAAGGACUUUGUAAAGAAUAUAUUACAACCGAUCAGGCCAGUGGCUUUUUGUUUGUUUGUUUAGCAGGAUUUGAUUGAACCUCAUCAUGCUAUAGAUCUUCCAUUCAGGGAUGAUGAUGUGGGCAUAGUUCAGUGGAGGCUGCCUGCAAUGAAACUGGGCAGAGGCAAGAAUCGAGAGAUCAGCUUUAGCCCAGCUCCCAGGAGCACCAGAGUUAAGAAGGAUAUCUCCUAGAGGGAAAGCCAGAGACCAGGCAAGGGAACAUACAUGAACACCCAGCCUGUGCUCUGGUGUGAGGUUGCAACAGGAGUAGGAUUGGUUCAAUCAGCAUAUUUUCUUUCAUGUACUAGGUUGAAAGUAUUAGUCCAUUUUAUAGAUGAAGAAAUGGAGGCCCAGAGAGAUCACGUGACUUAGCCAAGUCCACCAAAUUUGGGAUUAAGCCUUAUUUUGCAUUGGGUUUAAUCUCAACAGACACCGAGGGGCACCUGGAGUCCCUGCAAAACCUUGUCUGGUAUCAGCUACCUAUCAGAGGAUGCAGAGGACAAGGUCAGGUAGAGGCUGUUUCCAGUGAGAGGAAGGCAGGGGGAGGGCAUGGAAGGAGCACUGGAAAUGGGGUGGGAAAACCAAAGCUCCCUCCAUGCAGGGCUACUUAGGUGAGUCCCUUCCCUGUCUGGGCUCCCUUCCUUCCUUCCUUCCUUCCUUCCUUCCUUCCUUCCUUCCUUCCUUCCUUCUUUCCUUCCUUUCCUUCCUUCCUUCUUUCCUUUCUUCCUUGCUUCCUGCUCUCUCUGUUGCCCAGGCUGGAGUGCAGUAGCAUGUCCUCGCCUCACUGCAGCCUCGACCUCCUGGACUCAAGCCAUCCUCCCACCUCAGCCUCCUGAGUAGCUGGAGCUAUAGGCGUGUGCCACUACACACGGCUAACUUUUGUAUUUUUUGUAGAGAUGGGGUUUCACCAUCUUGUCCAAGCUGGUCUUGAACUCCUGGGCUCAAGCGAUCUGUCCACCUCAGCCUCCCAAAGUGCUGGGAUUACAGACAUGAGCCACCGUGCCCAGCCUGUGCCUUAGCAUUCUAUCCUAUGACUCAGAGGUAGCUGAGCUCCAUCUUCUAAAAUCAAGUGACCAUCACUGAGGCUGUCUCCUCCCCUAUAAAAUCAGGAUUGUGUUACUCAUUGUAGAAAAACCAGUAACCCCAGCAAGCAAGCUCACCCCCCUGGCUCCACAGACCUCCCCAGUCUCAUCUCUCAAGACUCCUGCCCUUCACAAGAUGCUCUGGCGCACCCCAGCCCUGUGCUCCCUCUCAUUUGGUUUCCUCUGCUUGGAUUGCCCUUCUCACCUUCUUUAGUUGGUGUCUGCUCACCUUCUAAGACUCAGCCCAGUCCUUAUCUCCUCCAGGAAGCCUUCCCCAAUCUCCCUUCCACUGGCUGGGUUAGGUGCUGUCCCUUGGGCUCCUAUCAAGUCUGGGCCAUUGCUGUCCUAAUAAUGUGGCUGAUAAUUUAUAGCUAGUCAUUAGAGUUGUAAUUUAUUGAGCCCUUACUCACAGCCUGCCCCUGAACCAGACCCUUUAUACAGCGUCACCUCAUUGAAUCUGACAAAGUAUAACUCAGCUCCUAGUUCAAAGUAAACAUCUGCCCUGCCAUUGAUCCCGCUGAGGUAACAGAAAUAAAGCCAGCUGUGGAGGUAACACGAAACAGUAGUUCUCCCAAGCAUAGGGUACAGCUAGAAAGUGCCACAACGUGCCUGCCUGCAAUGUGUGCACGUGCGUGCACACGUGUACGUGGAUAAACACGUCUGUGCACGUGUAUGUUGCUUCUCUGGCCAGGCCUGGCUGCCCCACUCAUGUGCACCCAGUUCCUCAUCACUGUCACCCCCGAGGCCCAGGGCCAGCAUCAGAGCAUCCCUGGCUGCUCCCUAACCUCAGCCCUCCCCGCCCAGGGUGGUCCUGGGAUACACAUAGGGGUGGAGGGAAGUGACUGCUGCUGCUGCUGGAUCUCAGAAUACAAAUACUAAUACUAUUACCUAAUGGUCUUUUUAGUGUCCCUAAUGGUCUUUUUAGUGUCUCUAAUUGUAUCUCUUUUUCGUUUCUGAUAUUUUAACUGGGUAUUUCUCUCCAUGACCCUUGGAUAUUCUAGCUAGAGGAUCCUGUGGGGAAAGUGCCGGGCACACAGUAGGGGCUCACUCUUCUAGACGUGUUAUCUAAAACCUGGUUCAUCUGUCCUUCCACGCAGGGCCUAGGGGAUGCCAAAUUCCAGGGUCCAGAAAGAGCUUGGGAUAAAAUGAACAUCCAAGGGGAGGGCUUUGACCUGGGCUGAGUCUGCCUGUGCCGAGUCUGCCUGUGCCAUCCAACUGGAGUCUCAAGUCCUGAGGCAGGACGUCCAGAUGCCCCAGUGCAGGGUCCUCCUGAUCAACACCUGCUCCCCUGUACUCAUUAGCAACCUCACCCACCCUACUCUCAAAGCACACUUGGCUCUCAUAUCCAGGAGCUCUGCAUCUGUAGAUUCAGCAACAGCAGAUGGAAAAUAUUCAGAAAAUAAAUUGGACAGUUAUAUUUCUAUUGAA